RNAcentral lists this ribosomal RNA (458 nucleotides) under uncultured Methylophilaceae bacterium. RNAcentral describes it as "bacterial SSU rRNA". It matches the Rfam family "Bacterial small subunit ribosomal RNA", at positions 924 to 1382 of the family's 1533-position model. Lineage: Bacteria; Pseudomonadati; Pseudomonadota; Betaproteobacteria; Nitrosomonadales; Methylophilaceae. The record is from RNAcentral.
CACAAGCGGUGGAUGAUGUGGAUUAAUUCGAUGCAACGCGAAAACCUUACCUACCCUUGACAUGCUAGGAACUUGCCAGAGAUGGCUUGGUGCCCGAAAGGGAACCUAGACACAGGUGCUGCAUGGCUGUCGUCAGCUCGUGUCGUGAGAUGUCGGGUUAAGUCCCGCAACGAGCGCAACCCUUGUCAUUAAUUGCCAUCAUUCAGUUGGGCACUUUAAUGAGACUGCCGGUGACAAACCGGAGGAAGGUGGGGAUGACGUCAAGUCCUCAUGGCCCUUAUGGGUAGGGCUUCACACGUAAUACAAUGGUCGGUACAGAGGGUUGCCAACCCGCGAGGGGGAGCCAAUCCCAGAAAACCGAUCGUAGUCCGGAUUGCAGUCUGCAACUCGACUGCAUGAAGUCGGAAUCGCUAGUAAUCGCGGAUCAGCAUGUCGCGGUGAAUACGUUCCCGGGCCUU